RNAcentral lists this ribosomal RNA (662 nucleotides) under uncultured bacterium. RNAcentral's name for it is "bacterial SSU rRNA". It matches the Rfam family "Bacterial small subunit ribosomal RNA", at positions 833 to 1495 of the family's 1533-position model. The record is from RNAcentral.
UGAGGCCUGGCUUCCGGAACUAACGCGUAAAGUCGACCGCCUGGGAGUACGGCCCGCAAGGUUAAAACUCCAAUGAAUUGACGGGGGCCCGCACAAGCGGUGGAGCAUGUGGUUAAAUUCGAUGCAACGCGAAGAACCUUACCUACUCUUGACAUCCAGAGAACUUUCCAGAGAUGGAUUGGUGCCUUCGGGAACUCUGAGACAGGUGCUGCAUGGCUGUCGUCGGCUCGUGUUGUGAAAUGUUGGGUUAAGUCCCGCAACGAGCGCAACCCUUAUCCUUUGUUGCCAGCGGUCCGGCCGGGAACUCAAAGGAGACUGCCAGUGAUAAACUGGAGGAAGGUGGGGAUGACGUCAAGUCAUCAUGGCCCUUACGAGUAGGGCUACACACGUGCUACAAUGGCGCAUACAAAGAGAAGCGAACUCGCGAGAGCAAGCGGACCUCAUAAAGUGCGUCGUAGUCCGGAUUGGAGUCUGCAACUCGACUCCAUGAAGUCGGAAUCGCUAGUAAUCGUAGAUCAGAAUGCUACGGUGAAUACGUUCCCGGGCCUUGUACACACCGCCCGUCACACCAUGGGAGUGGGUUGCAAAAGAAGUAGGUAGCUUAACCUUCGGGAGGGCGCUUACCACUUUGUGAUUCAUGACUGGGGUGAAGUCGUAACAAG